UUACUUUGAAACCUGAAACCUGCAAACACAAGGUGAGUAUUAUCUCAAGCAAUAGUGAUAUGUGCUUGUUCACCAUAGAAAGUUGAAAACUUGGCUCCUCCUAAUGGGCCCAUUCCUGGAGACAGAAUUACUUUUGAUGCUUUCCCUGGAGAGCCCAACAAGGAGCUGAAUCAUAAGGAGAGGAUUUGGGAGCAGAUCCAACCUGAUCUUAACACUAUUAAUGAGUGUGUGGCUCCAUACCAAGGAGCUCCCUUUGAGGUGAAAGGGAAAGGAGUGUGCAGGGCUCAAACCAAAACCAACAGUGGAAUCAAG
This 312-nucleotide long non-coding RNA is filed under the name Homo sapiens (human). Its description in RNAcentral is "non-protein coding lnc-TNFSF18-3:1". Lineage: Eukaryota; Metazoa; Chordata; Mammalia; Primates; Hominidae. The record is from RNAcentral.